RNAcentral lists this long non-coding RNA (480 nucleotides) under Elaeis guineensis (African oil palm). RNAcentral describes it as "long non-coding RNA (EGUI_LNC015847)". The record is from RNAcentral. Lineage: Eukaryota; Viridiplantae; Streptophyta; Magnoliopsida; Arecales; Arecaceae.
AAUUUGGAUGGUAUUGAAAUUUUUUGGAUUUGAAAUAUCGAGAAUCUACACAUGUAUUAUCAGAAAGUCCUCGUAACAAAUUAUAUUAUGCAAAUACUUUGUAUUCUGUUAUAUUAUUUCAAUCGGUUGUCAGCAAUAAAUAUCGACUAAUAAAAAAUCAACUAUUUUAUAAUUGAUCGAAUAAUAUGACCGACUGACAUCCGAUCAUAAAAAUAUUAUCGGCUAACAUCUGACAAAAUAAUGAUCGGCUUGCACCCGAUCGAUAAAAGGCCCAAUGUAGCCAAUAAAGGCCACAAAGAAAAAAGUACGACUCGAAGUAUUUUGACAUCCAACUUUGUUAUACUGACAAGUUUACUUGAUCAAGUUUCAACUGCCUACCGAUGAAUGGGCUAAUCCUCCGGAGACCCCACAUGAUCGUAUGGCAGGCUAAAAACAACGACAAUAAUGGGGCUAACCCUCUAAGGACCUCAUAUGGCCACU